RNAcentral lists this ribosomal RNA (253 nucleotides) under uncultured bacterium. RNAcentral's name for it is "partial 16S ribosomal RNA". It matches the Rfam family "Bacterial small subunit ribosomal RNA", at positions 524 to 776 of the family's 1533-position model. The record is from RNAcentral.
UACAGAGGGGGCAAGCGUUGUUCGGAAUUACUGGGCGUAAAGGGCGCGUAGGCGGCCUGCUAAGUCGAACGUGAAAUCCCUGGGCUCAACCCAGGAACUGCGUCCGAUACUGGUUGGCUUGAAUCCGGGAGAGGGACGUGGAAUUCCAGGUGUAGCGGUGGAAUGCGUAGAGAUCCGGAGGAAGACCGGUGGCGAAGGCGGUCUGCUGGGCAGUUUCUGACACUGAUGCGCGACAGCGUGGGGAGCAAACAGG